UACAGGUGGUGCAUGGCUGUCGUCAGCUCGUGUCGUGAGAUGUGGGUUAAGUCCCGCAACGAGCGCAACCUUACCCUUAGUUGUUUCCCGAAAGGAUUACCCGUCUAAGGGGACUGCCCCGGACAACGGGAGGAAGGUGGGGAUGACGUCAAGUCCGCAUGCUCCUUACGUCUAGGGCUACACACGUCCUACAAUGGGGUCGACAGUGGGAUGCAAAGCCGCGAGGUGGAGCCAAUCCCCAAACGGCCUCUCAGUUCGGAUAGUAGUCUGCAACUCGACUCCAUGAAGUUGGAAUCGCUAGUAAUCGCGGAUCAGCAUGCCCGCGGUCCGAAUACGUUCCGGGCCUU
Molecule: ribosomal RNA, 347 nt
Filed under: uncultured bacterium
Lineage: Bacteria
Description: bacterial SSU rRNA
Rfam family: Bacterial small subunit ribosomal RNA
Source: RNAcentral